RNAcentral lists this non-coding RNA (23 nucleotides) under Rattus norvegicus (Norway rat). Lineage: Eukaryota; Metazoa; Chordata; Mammalia; Rodentia; Muridae. The record is from RNAcentral.
AUGAAAGAUGGUGUUGACUCCCA